UAAAGAGAGAGGUGAAUAAACUUUAAUUGCUUUAGAGAGAGAGAGAGAGAGAGAGAGAGAGACCCAUUCAUGUCCUUCAUCAGAUUGAAGCCAGAGAGAUUUCCGACUUUCCUCAAUGCUUCCCUCCAUUUCCUCACCUCCUCUUGGUCCUGCUUGAUGGAUUGAUGAUCCUUAAACGCAGAUUUGAAGGGGCCGCUCUGGUUGCGGACAUGACAAGGUUCCACGCCAAAGAACACCGGAAUUAUCUCCUUCCCGCACUCCACACUUUUGGUCACCUCUUUCAAGCACCAUUUCGAUUCUGCAAAGCGUUGGGAGAAGAUGGGGACAAAGAUCUUGGACCUAUUUAUGUAUUCCAACAGUUUGUUGAUCUUGUCUCCCUUUUCCAACUUCUCGCAGUCUAUAAAGGUGGAAAUACCGCGCUCCUCAAGCCCAUCAUGAAGAUGCCCAGUGAAACCCUUUCGGGUGUCUUCGCCUCUGAAGCUGAGAAACACUUCAAACUCGGAUCCACCAGCUCUUGGUGAAGACGGUGAAGGUGCUGAUGUCUCCAGUACCUCUUCCCCUGAAUCUGUGUCUCCUCUAAUUCCAACAUCAACAUUUUGGUUGCCAGAAAGUCUCCUUAAAAGUUCCCCUAGGACAUCUCCCUUCAAGAAAUCGUUGAUUCGCUGGUGGAAGACAAGACCAAAGAGAACGAAUACUAUGAACAAAGCUGCAGAUAUCACCAUUUUCAUCUGGAACUUUGAAGAGGUAAGGUAGGAAAAAUAUGCAACUUUCUUGGUGACACCACGUACAUAACCAAGAUCGAAAGAAGGCAGAAGGGAAGAGAUACGGAAGGCUGGGCUUGAGCACAACUCUUGGGUGAAACCAUGAAUUCUUGCUCAACACAAGCGGCCAAUCAUAGGAAAUUGCCUCAAAAGCAUGCGGAGGACAUCUUCCUGCAAGAAAUCCUUGAUUCGUGGAAGGAAGACAUGACCAAAGAGGAUGAAUAAAGCUGCAAAACCACCAUUUUGGUUGACAGGAAAUCACUUGAACUUAGAUGUUCAUUUAAUAAUACACAAACCUAGGUAUAUUUUUCCCACAAUCUUUAAAUUAUAACUGCAUUUAUAUCAAAUUUUCAAUUUGCUAGCUUUUGUUGUAUUAGUAGCCGAAUCUGUUAGGUGAUUUUUUCUCAUCAAUGUUUAAAUUUUGAUGUAUUUUAUGGAGGGUAUGCUGGGCAUCAAAUAUAUGAAGAUUUUUUAUUUGGACUCGUUCGGUUUUGGUCAAGAAAACUCUUCAAAGGAGAGUGCUGCAAAUGUUUUGCGGGUCCGCGUGAAGUUGCGGGGAUCCAUGAGCAUAUUCUUUAUCAAGGAAAACAAUGCACUGCCAUUGUAGUCUGGAGAUCUUUACGUGCUUUCUCUGCCUUCAAACCUGUGUAAAAUUCAGAGCAGCAGCACCAUGGAUCGAUCGGCAGUCCUCUGCAGCAAUGCAGUAGUAGGGAAGCAAACAUCACAAGACACUGUUCUCUUGAUAAACAAAACAGUGGAGGAUAGGAGCAGCGCAACACAAUCAACAAGAACAGAGGCAAAAGGGUAGAGCUCCUCAGUUGAGCCUACAGGCCUACAAAAAAAUACCUACUUUCACAUUAAUAUUUAAGAAAAAAUUUCCUCA
This is a long non-coding RNA of Nymphaea colorata (pocket water lily), 1644 nucleotides long. RefSeq lists it as uncharacterized. Lineage: Eukaryota; Viridiplantae; Streptophyta; Magnoliopsida; Nymphaeales; Nymphaeaceae. The transcript has 3 exons. The record is from RefSeq and is a predicted model, not a curated record.